RNAcentral lists this ribosomal RNA (2903 nucleotides) under Escherichia coli. RNAcentral describes it as "23S ribosomal RNA". It matches the Rfam family "Bacterial large subunit ribosomal RNA". The record is from RNAcentral. Lineage: Bacteria; Pseudomonadati; Pseudomonadota; Gammaproteobacteria; Enterobacterales; Enterobacteriaceae.
GGUUAAGCGACUAAGCGUACACGGUGGAUGCCCUGGCAGUCAGAGGCGAUGAAGGACGUGCUAAUCUGCGAUAAGCGUCGGUAAGGUGAUAUGAACCGUUAUAACCGGCGAUUUCCGAAUGGGGAAACCCAGUGUGUUUCGACACACUAUCAUUAACUGAAUCCAUAGGUUAAUGAGGCGAACCGGGGGAACUGAAACAUCUAAGUACCCCGAGGAAAAGAAAUCAACCGAGAUUCCCCCAGUAGCGGCGAGCGAACGGGGAGCAGCCCAGAGCCUGAAUCAGUGUGUGUGUUAGUGGAAGCGUCUGGAAAGGCGCGCGAUACAGGGUGACAGCCCCGUACACAAAAAUGCACAUGCUGUGAGCUCGAUGAGUAGGGCGGGACACGUGGUAUCCUGUCUGAAUAUGGGGGGACCAUCCUCCAAGGCUAAAUACUCCUGACUGACCGAUAGUGAACCAGUACCGUGAGGGAAAGGCGAAAAGAACCCCGGCGAGGGGAGUGAAAAAGAACCUGAAACCGUGUACGUACAAGCAGUGGGAGCACGCUUAGGCGUGUGACUGCGUACCUUUUGUAUAAUGGGUCAGCGACUUAUAUUCUGUAGCAAGGUUAACCGAAUAGGGGAGCCGAAGGGAAACCGAGUCUUAACUGGGCGUUAAGUUGCAGGGUAUAGACCCGAAACCCGGUGAUCUAGCCAUGGGCAGGUUGAAGGUUGGGUAACACUAACUGGAGGACCGAACCGACUAAUGUUGAAAAAUUAGCGGAUGACUUGUGGCUGGGGGUGAAAGGCCAAUCAAACCGGGAGAUAGCUGGUUCUCCCCGAAAGCUAUUUAGGUAGCGCCUCGUGAAUUCAUCUCCGGGGGUAGAGCACUGUUUCGGCAAGGGGGUCAUCCCGACUUACCAACCCGAUGCAAACUGCGAAUACCGGAGAAUGUUAUCACGGGAGACACACGGCGGGUGCUAACGUCCGUCGUGAAGAGGAAACAACCCAGACCGCCAGCUAAGGUCCCAAAGUCAUGGUUAAGUGGGAAACGAUGUGGGAAGGCCCAGACAGCCAGGAUGUUGGCUUAGAAGCAGCCAUCAUUUAAAGAAAGCGUAAUAGCUCACUGGUCGAGUCGGCCUGCGCGGAAGAUGUAACGGGGCUAAACCAUGCACCGAAGCUGCGGCAGCGACGCUGAUGCGUUGUUGGGUAGGGGAGCGUUCUGUAAGCCUGCGAAGGUGUGCUGUGAGGCAUGCUGGAGGUAUCAGAAGUGCGAAUGCUGACAUAAGUAACGAUAAAGCGGGUGAAAAGCCCGCUCGCCGGAAGACCAAGGGUUCCUGUCCAACGUUAAUCGGGGCAGGGUGAGUCGACCCCUAAGGCGAGGCCGAAAGGCGUAGUCGAUGGGAAACAGGUUAAUAUUCCUGUACUUGGUGUUACUGCGAAGGGGGGACGGAGAAGGCUAUGUUGGCCGGGCGACGGUUGUCCCGGUUUAAGCGUGUAGGCUGGUUUUCCAGGCAAAUCCGGAAAAUCAAGGCUGAGGCGUGAUGACGAGGCACUACGGUGCUGAAGCAACAAAUGCCCUGCUUCCAGGAAAAGCCUCUAAGCAUCAGGUAACAUCAAAUCGUACCCCAAACCGACACAGGUGGUCAGGUAGAGAAUACCAAGGCGCUUGAGAGAACUCGGGUGAAGGAACUAGGCAAAAUGGUGCCGUAACUUCGGGAGAAGGCACGCUGAUAUGUAGGUGAGGUCCCUCGCGGAUGGAGCUGAAAUCAGUCGAAGAUACCAGCUGGCUGCAACUGUUUAUUAAAAACACAGCACUGUGCAAACACGAAAGUGGACGUAUACGGUGUGACGCCUGCCCGGUGCCGGAAGGUUAAUUGAUGGGGUUAGCGCAAGCGAAGCUCUUGAUCGAAGCCCCGGUAAACGGCGGCCGUAACUAUAACGGUCCUAAGGUAGCGAAAUUCCUUGUCGGGUAAGUUCCGACCUGCACGAAUGGCGUAAUGAUGGCCAGGCUGUCUCCACCCGAGACUCAGUGAAAUUGAACUCGCUGUGAAGAUGCAGUGUACCCGCGGCAAGACGGAAAGACCCCGUGAACCUUUACUAUAGCUUGACACUGAACAUUGAGCCUUGAUGUGUAGGAUAGGUGGGAGGCUUAGAAGUGUGGACGCCAGUCUGCAUGGAGCCGACCUUGAAAUACCACCCUUUAAUGUUUGAUGUUCUAACGUUGACCCGUAAUCCGGGUUGCGGACAGUGUCUGGUGGGUAGUUUGACUGGGGCGGUCUCCUCCUAAAGAGUAACGGAGGAGCACGAAGGUUGGCUAAUCCUGGUCGGACAUCAGGAGGUUAGUGCAAUGGCAUAAGCCAGCUUGACUGCGAGCGUGACGGCGCGAGCAGGUGCGAAAGCAGGUCAUAGUGAUCCGGUGGUUCUGAAUGGAAGGGCCAUCGCUCAACGGAUAAAAGGUACUCCGGGGAUAACAGGCUGAUACCGCCCAAGAGUUCAUAUCGACGGCGGUGUUUGGCACCUCGAUGUCGGCUCAUCACAUCCUGGGGCUGAAGUAGGUCCCAAGGGUAUGGCUGUUCGCCAUUUAAAGUGGUACGCGAGCUGGGUUUAGAACGUCGUGAGACAGUUCGGUCCCUAUCUGCCGUGGGCGCUGGAGAACUGAGGGGGGCUGCUCCUAGUACGAGAGGACCGGAGUGGACGCAUCACUGGUGUUCGGGUUGUCAUGCCAAUGGCACUGCCCGGUAGCUAAAUGCGGAAGAGAUAAGUGCUGAAAGCAUCUAAGCACGAAACUUGCCCCGAGAUGAGUUCUCCCUGACCCUUUAAGGGUCCUGAAGGAACGUUGAAGACGACGACGUUGAUAGGCCGGGUGUGUAAGCGCAGCGAUGCGUUGAGCUAACCGGUACUAAUGAACCGUGAGGCUUAACCUU